Molecule: ribosomal RNA, 404 nt
Filed under: uncultured bacterium
Lineage: Bacteria
Description: bacterial SSU rRNA
Rfam family: Bacterial small subunit ribosomal RNA
Source: RNAcentral
UUUUGGACAAUGGGGGCAACCCUGAUCCAGCCAUUCCGCGUGAGUGAAGAAGGCCUUCGGGUUGUAAAGCUCUUUCAGCAGGAACGAAACGGUGGCUACUAAUACUAGCUACUAAUGACGGUACCUGAAGAAGAAGCACCGGCUAACUACGUGCCAGCAGCCGCGGUAAUACGUAGGGUGCGAGCGUUAAUCGGAAUUACUGGGCGUAAAGCGUGCGCAGGCGGUUCUAUAAGACAGAUGUGAAAUCCCCGGGCUUAACCUGGGAACUGCGUUUGUGACUGUAGGACUCGAGUGUGGCAGAGGGGGGUGGAAUUCCACGUGUAGCAGUGAAAUGCGUAGAGAUGUGGAGGAACACCGAUGGCGAAGGCAGCCCCCUGGGUCAACACUGACGCUCAUGCACGAAA